UACAGAGGGUGCAAGCGUUGUUCGGAAUUAUUGGGCGUAAAGCGCGUGUAGGCGGUCUUGCAAGUCGGGGGUGAAAUCCCUUGGCUCAACUGAGGAAGUGCGCCCGAAACUGCAGGACUUGAGUACCGGAGAGGAUGGCGGAAUUCCCCAAGUAGAGGUGAAAUUCGUAGAUAUGGGGAGGAACACCGGUGGCGAAGGCGGCCAUCUGGACGGAUACUGACGCUGAGACGCGAAAGCAUGGGGAGCAAAAGGG
RNAcentral lists this ribosomal RNA (253 nucleotides) under uncultured bacterium. RNAcentral describes it as "partial 16S ribosomal RNA". It matches the Rfam family "Bacterial small subunit ribosomal RNA", at positions 524 to 776 of the family's 1533-position model. The record is from RNAcentral.